RNAcentral lists this long non-coding RNA (678 nucleotides) under Aotus nancymaae (Ma's night monkey). Its description in RNAcentral is "lncRNA (ENSANAG00000038881.1)". The record is from RNAcentral. Lineage: Eukaryota; Metazoa; Chordata; Mammalia; Primates; Aotidae.
AUUGCUUUAGACAGUUUGGACUAGUAUAACUAUAUAAUAUUUGUUGAUUUAAGCAGCAAACAUUUAUUUCUUACAAUUCUGAAGGCUGGGAAAUCCAAAAUCAAGGUUCCACCUGAUUCAGUGUCUGGUGAGGACCCUCUUCUUGGUUUGCAGCCUGCUGCCCGCUUGCUAUAUCCUCACAUACUGGAGGGAGGGAGAGAAUUCUGAUGCCAGCUGUGAAAAUGUGGAAUCUCUGGAAAACAAACAGAAGAGAAAAGGUGUCUUAUAGACAAGAAAGUAACAUCAAAAACAAGACCCACUGAUGGACAAUGUCACAAAACCCACCGAAGUCAGCAGCAGAGAAAUAAGAAAACACCGUAUGGGAGAAGGUAUAUGAGGAAGGAAAGAAGAAGGCUAGCAGGUGAAGAAAAAGAAGGUCAGGUGAGGGCAGUGGAGAAGGAAAGACAUGCAGACGUGUGGAAGAGUGCUCAAAAUGCCUGCCACUUACAGAGAAGCUGAAGGACAGAGGAAGGAAGACAGAGGGAAAGGAAAGGAUGUCUAAACCACACUGGUCUCAGAAGAGUGAAAGACGCGCAAUGUUCUAAUGAAGAAACCGGGGAAGAGCAACGUUUGGUGAGUCUGCCAAAGAGUACAAAAAAAAAAAAAAAAAAACAGUAGGGUAGUAAAACAGUUACCACG